CACAAGUGUGUUGGAUAUUAUGCAUAUGUUUACCCUUUUUACAGAUUCCAGUAAAAUCUUUUUACUUUAGGUUCAAAAGAAGAAAGAAGAUAACAAUGGAGACAUGCAUGUAUUAUCCAAGUGUUGUUGUGUGGAGCCAAGAUCAAAGCAUUUCGGUUCAAAAGCUGUUGUUGCUCAUUCAUCAUUGUAGAAGGGCUAGUGAAGAAGGAUGUUAUGGUGUGCAGUAUAAUUGCAUAGCUGCUCCACCAUAUUCAGAACCAUAAACAAACUGGUGAAUAUUUAGAUUUUGAGGCAAAUUCACCUGCUGCUGAAAUUGAUUGGAAGGUGUUUGAACUAAAGCAGGAUUUGAUGCCACUGAAGUUUUAUAAACUCUUGGAGUCAGCUCAAGUACAACACUUUGUGCCAUUAGUGGCUUACUUUCGUGUCAGCUAUAUUUGCAUAUGCUUUGUGAUUGUGUGGAUCCAAGUCCAACUGGUACUGCACAAACUGAGUACUGAUGAAAUUGUUGGUAUGAUUGUGGUACAUAAAUUGAGUAGCAGGAUAGAUUGGAACCUAACCUGUUGUACCAGUAGUACCAUGAAUAUAAACAAUUUGAUGUUGCUAGUUAUUAUCAGAAACUUCACUUUUUAUA
This is a long non-coding RNA of Vicia villosa (hairy vetch), 631 nucleotides long. RefSeq lists it as uncharacterized. Lineage: Eukaryota; Viridiplantae; Streptophyta; Magnoliopsida; Fabales; Fabaceae. The record is from RefSeq and is a predicted model, not a curated record. The transcript is spliced from 2 exons.